GGGAGACCUGGGACCUGUCAAGUUGUAUUGUUCUGCUUUGUUUUGUUUUUAAAGGCAUGUUGCAGUUGAGUUCUUUACCUCUCUCCUAAAAUCUAAAGCUUCUUUUUUUUUCCUCUUCUAAAGUACUAUCAGGCAGUAACUUUGAGGAGAUACGGACCUCAUUUUAUCCUAGUAAAAAAUUUUCCUCUUUUUACUUGGAGUGAAAGAAAGGGGGCUGGAUAUAAUUUAAAGGUUAAAAUAAGGAGUAGCUACAAUAUAGAGAGCUAGAGAAAGGAACUGUUAAAUGGUGUGUUGUGACCUGCCCAUCUGUCAUAAACAAGGAAACAUUUCUGAGGUAGUUUCACACAUCUUGCACCAACCUCUUUCUUCCUGCUUUUCUUUCUUGACUAUUUCCUCCCUCAGUUUUCAUUUCUGCUUUAGCCAGAGAGAGUCACUACAGUUGACAAUUGAUAUGAAGGUGUAACUGAAAUGUUAUCAAAUAUUAUCCCUGUAUUUUUUAAUAAGUACACAUUUUUACCAUGGUGCCUCCCUAACGUAAGUGGCAUUUGUUGGUAGUUUUCAGCAAAAGUUAACUACAAGGGAAAGGGAAAUAUUUGUCUUUAUCUUUCUUUUCCCCUUGACCUAGUCCUGUAUUCACCCCUCUUCUUGGUAUUUCGAAGGAAGAAGUUCAGUAGCAUCUUUUUUUAUAUUAUACCUCUUUAGAUCUGUCUUAGUGACAAGUGGGUAUUCUUAUAUGUAUCUUUACAGAGAAACAGGAGGACCCGAUAAAUUCAAAUUUACCCCACUCUACAGAUAGCAGCCUGUCACAUUUCAAGGCUCAAUCCUUAACCUCACCUCCCACUCUCAAUAGAAAAUAAUGUUUCUGCCCUUAGUCAUUUUCCAUGAGAAAGGAAUGCUUUUCUUGUCCCUGAACUGAAAGGCUUCUUAUUUGUAUUUCUACAACUAGUACUGGGAAAAGGACAAUCACUGCAUUCUGAGUGUUUAUAUCUUUAUAUCUAGGGACACUGAAAGGCAAAUGUUGCUUUACUACUCUUUUUUAUUUAGUGUCUUACCCCAAGGUACACACUGGUCAUCUCCAGCCAGAUGAGUAAAAAAAAAGGAAAUUCUAGCAAGUUUCAUAUUUUCUUCCAAGUUAGUAUAGGAGUAACUGUAGGAAGUAUGGGGAUUGCUCUGGAUUCCUCCAGCGAAAUAUUAAAGAUGGGAGAGAGUGGGCAGUGUAGUGACAGAAGAUGAUUAUUUGUCUCAAAAGAAACUUGCUUUUCAGAUAAAGAGCGUUUCAGAUAAAGAGCAGCUUAAACCAGGUGUGCAUCAUAGUUUGGGAGUUUUUGUGUAAUUUAUUCCAUAUUAUUUAUUUGGGCUCGUCAUGUUUUCUUUGGUUAGGAUCCUGCAAGUCAUUCAUCUUCCUAAUGCGUUUCUGGUUUUAAGCCAACUGUUCUUUCUUUCUUUGACUUUCUCAAGCCUCUCUGUCCUGUAGCUUCCCCCCGCCGCCCCCCCGCAAAAAUGCAUGAUACCAUGACCUUGUAAGUGGGGUGGGGUAUAUAGUGUAGCAAAGCAAAGAAACAGUACAGUUAUAUUGAGUCCUAAGACAUUUGUUUAGAGAAAAGUAUAAGAGAGUGUGAAGAUGGGGGUGGGGGGAGGGAAAGGGAGAGUUCUCUCUGACUCGAAACUGGGAUAGGUUUUUUCUUCCUUUGCAGAAAAGUGGGAUGUUUUUUUAUUCUAGAAUAAAAGAAUGUGAAUUCUUUUUGCUGCUCUCGUUUAAGCUAAAAGUAGUGUUUACUUGAAAAGGCUCUCUGACCAUUUGAUUUUAUCAGAAAAUGCGGGGUUGUCAAGACAGUGGCUUCCUGAAUGUUGGGGCAGGGCUAUUGUCCUCAAAAGCAUGAUAGCUAAUCCAUGAAAGAAGGACCUUGUUGUACAGUUUAAAAGAUGGACUUUUAAGGGUUGGUUUUUUUGUGGAGUGUUUUUUUUUUUUUUUUUUAAGCCACAAAAUCCUCAGUGCAUUUGUUUCAAGAUGGAAGUGAGGAUUUGUAUGUGACUUGUCAGCUGUUGUUAACUUUAAGGAAAUCUGUCUACAGCAGUAAAUGAAGACAACAAUGUAUAUAUGUGAUAUAGUGAAACAAAAAAGACAAUUCUGGUAUUCAUAACAUGAAACAAAGGGGUUUUAUUCUUUCUUUGUCUGUGAUUUAAAACUCCGUGCCCAUGCUCUGACUUUUGUAUUUCAACCUGAGUUUAAAAAAUAAACAAGAUUUUUUUAAAGAAAGCAUAGCAUAGUGUAUCUUGGCAAGGACAUGAUUCAUAUGCAAGCAGAAUAUGUGAAGUUGUUACUAACGUCCUUGGUGCUCACUGUAAAAUCACAGACAGAGAAUCAGUGGGUGGGGGCCAUGAAUACACUGGUACCACUUAAAACACAGUGAUACAGUAUCAGAAAUUGAGUCCUUGAGUAUUUUGUAAGAGUUUACUCUUCAGUCAGCUUAGAUGAAACCUGUCUCCCUGCUCCCCUCUGCCCUCCCAAAAGUUGAGAAUAAACAGAAUUUGGUUUGUUUCCAGGGAGGGUAAAAUGAUAAGAGAAUAGGCCUUUUAUCCUUUCCGAUCCCAGGAGUACAAUGUUUGUGAUAUAUAUGGUACAGCAAACCUAUCUAGAUAAUGUGAAUAUGCUAAACUUCUAAUCGCAAAAUAUUCACUAUCAAUCCUGAAGUUACUGGUUCAUGCAGAAUUAAGCUUCAGCUGUUAUUGUUUUGAAGCCGCUGUAAAUUACUGCUUUUUCCCCUUUUUUUCUUCCCCUCCUCCCCCUCCCCCCUUUUUUCGAAUGGGCUGGGGUGCCUGUUAAGAUUAAAAUUAGAUAUGUUGGAUUGAUAUUCUCACGUGUUCAGUGUGGAAAACAAAACAAGUACAUGCUUUAGAGGCAACAACAAUGAAAUCCUUUUGAAAUGUGUAUUAAUAUCAUUUAAUAAAAUAACUAGUUCU
Molecule: long non-coding RNA, 2961 nt
Organism: Phocoena sinus (vaquita)
Lineage: Eukaryota; Metazoa; Chordata; Mammalia; Artiodactyla; Phocoenidae
Source: Ensembl